ACAGCCGGAUCGCCUAAUCCCGGGCGCCUCGCCCGGGAGCCGGGGACCCACACAGGAACCUGGGGUUAAGGCCUCGCGCCCGGGCUGCUCCCGCCCGCACCCGUCAGCUAACCCGGUCGGCGAGAUGGAGAGGAGUG
RNAcentral lists this small RNA (137 nucleotides) under Microbispora sp. ATCC PTA-5024. RNAcentral's name for it is "c-di-AMP riboswitch aptamer (ydaO/yuaA leader)". It matches the Rfam family "c-di-AMP riboswitch aptamer (ydaO/yuaA leader)". Rfam says of the family: This family represents a conserved RNA structure found upstream of the ydaO and yuaA genes in Bacillus subtilis and related genes in other bacteria. The ydaO/yuaA element is thought to act as a genetic "off" switch for the ydaO and yuaA genes in its native state. The record is from Rfam by way of RNAcentral. Lineage: Bacteria; Bacillati; Actinomycetota; Actinomycetes; Streptosporangiales; Streptosporangiaceae. RNAcentral also lists the same sequence under 1 other name.